This 205-nucleotide ribosomal RNA is filed under the name uncultured bacterium. RNAcentral describes it as "partial 16S ribosomal RNA". It matches the Rfam family "Bacterial small subunit ribosomal RNA", at positions 1290 to 1500 of the family's 1533-position model. The record is from RNAcentral.
AGUUCGGAUUGGAGUCUGCAACCCGACUCCAUGAAGCUGGAUUCGCUAGUAAUCGCGCAUCAGCCACGGCGCGGUGAAUACGUUCCCGGGCCUUGUACACACCGCCCGUCAAGCCAUGGGAGUCGGGAGUGCCUGAAGUUCGUGACCGUCACAGGAGCGACCUAAGGCAAGACCGAUGACUGGGGCUAAGUCGUAACAAGGUACC